AUUGAACGCUGGCGGCAUGCUUUACACAUGCAAGUCGAACGGUAACAGGCCUUCGGGUGCUGACGAGUGGCGAACGGGUGAGUAAUGCAUCGGAACGUGCCCAAUCGUGGGGGAUAACGUAGCGAAAGUUACGCUAAUACCGCAUAAGCCCUGAGGGGGAAAGUGGGGGACCGCAAGGCCUCACGCGAAUGGAGCGGCCGAUGUCAGAUUAGCUAGUUGGUGGGGUAAAGGCCCACCAAGGCGACGAUCUGUAGCGGGUCUGAGAGGAUGAUCCGCCACACUGGGACUGAGACACGGCCCAGACUCCUACGGGAGGCAGCAGUGGGGAAUUUUGGACAAUGGGCGCAAGCCUGAUCCAGCCAUGCCGCGUGCGGGACGAAGGCCUCGGUUGUAACCG
This 397-nucleotide ribosomal RNA is filed under the name uncultured bacterium. RNAcentral's name for it is "bacterial SSU rRNA". It matches the Rfam family "Bacterial small subunit ribosomal RNA", at positions 29 to 432 of the family's 1533-position model. The record is from RNAcentral.